GAUGAACGCUGGCGGCGUGCCUAAUACAUGCAAGUCGAGCGAACGGACGAGAAGCUUGCUUUUCUGAUGUUAGCGGCGGACGGGUGAGUAACACGUGGAUAACCUACCUAUAAGACUGGGAUAACUUCGGGAAACCGGAGCUAAUACCGGAUAAUAUUUUGAACCGCAUGGUUCAAAAGUGAAAGACGGUCUUGCUGUCACUUAUAGAUGGAUCCGCGCUGCAUUAGCUAGUUGGUAAGGUAACGGCUUACCAAGGCAACGAUGCAUAGCCGACCUGAGAGGGUGAUCGGCCACACUGGAACUGAGACACGGUCCAGACUCCUACGGGAGGCAGCAGUAGGGAAUCUUCCGCAAUGGGCGAAAGCCUGACGGAGCAACGCCGCGUGAGUGAUGAAGGUCUUCGGAUCGUAAAACUCUGUUAUUAAGGAAGAACAUAUGUGUAAGUAACUGUGCACAUCUUGACGGUACCUAAUCAGAAAGCCACGGCUAACUACGUG
RNAcentral lists this ribosomal RNA (497 nucleotides) under uncultured bacterium. RNAcentral describes it as "partial 16S ribosomal RNA". It matches the Rfam family "Bacterial small subunit ribosomal RNA", at positions 28 to 507 of the family's 1533-position model. The record is from RNAcentral.